RNAcentral lists this ribosomal RNA (250 nucleotides) under uncultured bacterium. RNAcentral describes it as "partial 16S ribosomal RNA". It matches the Rfam family "Bacterial small subunit ribosomal RNA", at positions 524 to 773 of the family's 1533-position model. The record is from RNAcentral.
UACAGAGGGUGCAAGCGUUAAUCGGAAUUACUGGGCGUAAAGCGCACGUAGGUGGGUUGGUUAGUUGUUGGUAAAAAGCUUGGGCUUAACCUGAGUCUGUCCAGCAAAACUGCCAGUCUAGAGUGUAUUAGAGGGGAGUGGAAUUUCCGGUGUAGCAGUGAAAUGCGUAGAUAUCGGAAGGAACACCAGUGGCGAAGGCGACUCCCUGGAAUAUAACUGACACUGAGGUGCGAAAGCGUGGGGAGCAAAC